UACGUAGGGUGCGAGCGUUGUCCGGAAUUAUUGGGCGUAAAGAGCUCGUAGGCGGUGUGUCGCGUCGGCCGUGAAAACCUGGGGCUUAACUCUGGGCGUGCGGUCGAUACGGGCAUCACUGGAGUUCGGCAGGGGAGACUGGAAUUCCUGGUGUAGCGGUGAAAUGCGUAGAUAUCGAGAGGAACACCUGCGGCGAAGGCGGGUUGCUGGGCUGACACUGACGCUGAGGCGCGAAAGCUAGGGGAGCGAACGGG
Molecule: ribosomal RNA, 254 nt
Filed under: uncultured bacterium
Lineage: Bacteria
Description: partial 16S ribosomal RNA
Rfam family: Bacterial small subunit ribosomal RNA
Source: RNAcentral